RNAcentral lists this ribosomal RNA (484 nucleotides) under uncultured Actinomycetales bacterium. Its description in RNAcentral is "bacterial SSU rRNA". It matches the Rfam family "Bacterial small subunit ribosomal RNA", at positions 8 to 507 of the family's 1533-position model. Lineage: Bacteria; Bacillati; Actinomycetota; Actinomycetes; Actinomycetales. The record is from RNAcentral.
AGAGUUUGACUCUGGCUCAGGACGAACGCUGGCGGGCGUGCUUAACACAUGGCAAGUCGAGCGGAAAGGCCCUUCGGGGUACUCGAGCGGCGAACGGGUGAGUAACACGUGAGUAAUCUGCCCCUAGCUCUGGGAUAGCUCCGGGAAACCGGGAUUAAUACCGGAUACGACCACUUUAGACAUCUUUUGUGGUGGAAAGAAUUUCGGCUAGGGAUGAGCUCGCGGCCUACCAGCUUGUUGGUGGGGUAACGGCCUACCAAGGCGACGACGGGGUAGCCGGCCUGAGAGGGCGACCGGCCACACUGGGACUGAGACACGGCCCAGACUCCUACGGGAGGCAGCAGUGGGGAAUAUUGCGCAAUGGGCGAAAGCCUGACGCAGCGACGCCGCGUGGGGGAUGAAGGCCUUCGGGUUGUAAACCCCUUUCAGCAGGGACGAAGCGAAAGUGACGGUACCUGCAGAAGAAGCGCCGGCUAACUACGUG